UGCCUCGGACGUGACGACACGACGAUCCCCCCAAAAAGGCCUGCCUGACUUUUGUCAUUCCGUCGCUGAACAGGAAAGGGUGGAGCUUAACUUCAACCAUAAGGAAGCAGUUUUGGUGCGGUCCAAUCAAUGGAGAACAUAGGAGGUGUCUCUGGUUUGCUGGGGCCCGUUCUUAGAGGCACAGCUGCAGGGUUUGCCUUUGCAGAAGCCAUCUCAUUUGCCCUGGAGCCAGGACUGAGUGAAGACCCCACACUCCUCCCUAUUGCUGUUCAUGCCGCCACUCGAGCUGGUUCGACUGGAGUUGGGGUCAUCACCUCCUGUCUACUAUGCACCUCAAUGCUAAUUUCUUUGGGAAGCGGGUUUCUCCUUGCAGCCGAGGUGAUGAAACUGCUAAAACAUGUUGGCAUUGAUAAACCAUGGCUUACUGCAGUCGCAACAGCGGCAUCUUUAAUAUCGGGAGCUGCCAUCACUGGAGUGUUAAUGGGAUUUCUUCCACUGGGGAUCAUCUACUAUGGAAGAAUGGGCAUCCUACUUGGACUUUUCCUAACUGGAGUGACCAUCUCUUUUCUAUGCGCUCUUCGGAAAGCCUUGACUGAAAGAAUGCUACCAAAAGCCAAAUGUGAAAUUGACUGCAAAUUACUGGAGAGGAUCUUCUUCUAUUCAGUCGUAGUGGGAAUACUUGGGUUUGGCGUGGGGUUAGGUGCAGUCGAAGUGGAUGAUAACUCUGAAGCAGAAGUGGUAAUUAUGCUGCAAUCUGUCCUUUGGGUGGCCUUUCUGUCAGCGGCCAUACUAGGUGCAGGCCUGGGGACAGUGGCCAUGGUUGGAGUGGGAACAGAGAUGGCUGGAAAAAUUGCAAUUGGGACUUCUAUCGCGUCAGCAGUUGCGCUGAGAGUCAUUGGGCAGAACAUGUUCAAUUUUGGGACAAGAAGCAGCACUGGAGGGAUGUUAGGAGUCACUGCAGUUGCAGCGGUAUCACUUGGAGCUGCUAGUGUCGCAGCUAAAGAAGCCUAUAAUUCCAGACAAUCAUUCUUAACAUCAAUUGCAUCAGUCGCUGUUGGAGUAAUUGCAGCCACAAAAGUUUUUAAUUCUCCUAUCAUGGGGAUAUCAGAGCUCACUACAGUCAUCCUCGCUUCCUUGGGGGCAUAUGUUCUGGGCGCACCAAAAAGCCCAUUCAACAAGAAGAUAAAUCUCCGCCAGGGACCUCUCACUGGAGAGGUGCUAAUUAAAGGAAUUGGCAUGGAAACGGUAACCGCGGCAGCAGCACCGAUUGGAGCUGGGGCCCUGGGAGUGGCAGUGAUGGGUACAGCAGCUCUGGGGAAGCUCGGGACUGUGGGAGUGCUGGUGGCUAUCACACUGGCUUUGGGAAGCACUCUGUCUGGUAUGUUAGGGAGAUCACUAGCGGUACGAGCAGAAAAUAACCAUGAAAACUGAAUGACCUGACACGUGCUCAAAUCAUUUUGUUUUAGCUUCAUGUGGAGCCACAUUGAUUUGCCUGUGUGCAAUGAUUGAAUGAAUGAUUGCGAUGAUUUAACCGGGCUCCAGACUGACACCUAAAAACUAAACAUGUAACUAGAGCUAAGUGUAGAUUUUGUUUCUACGAGGGAGCAACAGCCUAAAAUAUUACUGCAGGCUUUAUUUUUCCUACUAGGCUCACUGUCAAAUUAUAUGUACUUUUAUGUCAAAUAUGUGGUGACAGACAAUGAACUGAAAUGGCAAACAGCAUAGACGGUUAUUGUAAUGUAUUGUCGAAGUAUUGGCAUUGAGACCUGUUUUGAGGAUGCUUUCUAAAUGAUGUCCCGAUGCCCCUAAAUAAAAACACUGUUGAUGCACAAGUGCAAACAAACCAAAAUGUUAGUCUGGAGCCCUGCUCGAUAAUAACUGUGUGUUGAAAAUAUACCAAAGAUUACUUUUUUAUAUUACAAACAAUGAAAGAGGAAGCCACAAUUAAUAUGUUAGUCGUAGUCCAAACUCAUUCCUAUUUUUUCGAACGUAUUUGUAAUAUCCCCAUUCUUCACAGGGGACGGGUUUAUUGGCACAUUUCACAACUUGCAGGUCAUUCUUCAGAGUCAUUGUCACAGAAAUGCUAGAAAACUAGCCUGAGAGUUUAUGAAAUUGACACAACAAAUGCUUUGUAAUUAGAUGGACAGUGUUUUUCCCACAAAUGUCUGAGUUUAUAAUACUAAAGCAGGACAAAACAAAAUUGGUUCCACUACUAGAGAAAAAAGUCAGGUAUAGGGCCUUUUAAUUUAUGUGUUUUUUUUAAUUUUCUCACACUUAAUGCAUUCCUAUCUUCCUAAUUUAAUUGUCCCUACAUUGUACAUUGUAAAGACAACUUCUCAAAUGUCCAUGUAAUACAGUAAUACCAAAAAGUGUCUUAAUUUGGCUGUAAUCUGUAUUAUAUGUAAUAGCAUAUUUUUCCGAUUGCUGUAUGCUGCCCGCCUUGCUGAAUAAAUUGUGUUUGCAGUAAGUGGUUCUGAUGCUACUGUAUGUCCUCUCACCUCCUGGUGCAUCGUUUGCCACUUUUCCCAAGAUGUGAGUGCAAGGUUACUUUGGUUUCAUCUUAGCAACAGUAACAGAGACAGGAGAGACAGGGGAGGAGUGGGAGGAGAGCUGAGCCAUAACACCAAGUGACAGGAGAGAUGCAUGUUGAUUAUACUGGCGCAAUUGUACACAUAUUUAAGUUAAUGGUUGAUAUAAGGCAGUAGGUAUGGGCCUAUAUUUGUGGAAAUCGAUUUUGGAGAAUUGGAAACAGCACAUUUUAGUUGAAACCCUGCUUUGCAUGUUUUUUAUAUUUUAGGGUAAAAUGUAAUAGCCAGUCGAGUGGAAUUGCUGUGUUAAAAACGCUGCACCUUUUUUUGGAAAAUGUCACAUUUUUGAAGAUGGAGCUCAAGAGGAAUUAAUUUUGUACAAAGUGAUGUAAAGCAGUAUUACAGCCUUGCAAAGGAGGAUUACUUACUUGAAGGCACAAUGGC
Long non-coding RNA from Neogobius melanostomus (round goby), 2972 nucleotides. The record is from Ensembl. Lineage: Eukaryota; Metazoa; Chordata; Actinopteri; Gobiiformes; Gobiidae.